UGUUAAAAAAAUCAUCAUUUUCUACUGUCAAGAACUGAUGUGGUUGAUAGAAUAACCAGACUACUACACGUGAUGUGUCAUGUGUACCUCAUUCUAACAUACAGGGAACAGUUUUUAACAGAAGAAAUGAAUAGUUUUUUUAACA
Molecule: non-coding RNA, 145 nt
Organism: Gossypium arboreum
Lineage: Eukaryota; Viridiplantae; Streptophyta; Magnoliopsida; Malvales; Malvaceae
Source: Rfam